RNAcentral lists this ribosomal RNA (404 nucleotides) under Actinomycetes bacterium. Its description in RNAcentral is "Actinobacteria bacterium partial 16S ribosomal RNA". It matches the Rfam family "Bacterial small subunit ribosomal RNA", at positions 355 to 776 of the family's 1533-position model. The record is from RNAcentral. Lineage: Bacteria; Bacillati; Actinomycetota; Actinomycetes.
UGGGGAAUAUUGGACAAUGGGCGCAAGCCUGAUCCAGCCAUGCCGCGUGAGUGAUGAAGGCCCUAGGGUUGUAAAGCUCUUUCACCGGUGAAGAUAAUGACGGUAACCGGAGAAGAAGCCCCGGCUAACUUCGUGCCAGCAGCCGCGGUAAUACGAAGGGGGCUAGCGUUGUUCGGAUUUACUGGGCGUAAAGCGCACGUAGGCGGACUUUUAAGUCAGGGGUGAAAUCCCGGGGCUCAACCCCGGGACUGCCUUUGAUACUGGAAGUCUUGAGUAUGGUAGAGGUGAGUGGAAUUCCGAGUGUAGAGGUGAGAUUCGUAGAUAUUCGGAGGAACACCAGUGGCGAAGGCGGCGAACUGGACCAUUACUGACGCUGAGGUGCGAAAGCGUGGGGAGCAAACAGG